AGCAUGUGGUUUAAUUCGAAGCAACGCGAAGUAACCUUACCAGGUCUUGACAUCCCGAUGCUAUUCUAGAGAUAGAAAGUUACUUCGGUACAUCGGUGACAGGUGGUGCAUGGGUUGUCGUCAGCUCGUGUCGUGAGAUGUUGGGUUAAGUCCGCUAACGAGCGCAACCCUCGUCGUAUGUUAUAUGUGUCAUACGAGACUGCCGGUAAAAGCCGGAGGAAGGUGAGGAUGAUGUCAAGUCAGCAUGACCUUUAUAUCCAGGGCUACACACACGCUACAAUGGUCUGUACAAUGGGUAGCCAAGCCGCGAGGCGGAGCCAAUCCUGAAAGCAGGCCUCAGUUCAGAUUGCAGUCUGCAACUCGACUGCAUGAAGCCGGAGUUGCUAGUAACCGCAGGUCAGCAAUACUGCGGUGAAUACGUUCCCGGGUCUU
Molecule: ribosomal RNA, 432 nt
Filed under: uncultured Anaerolineaceae bacterium
Lineage: Bacteria; Bacillati; Chloroflexota; Anaerolineae; Anaerolineales; Anaerolineaceae
Description: bacterial SSU rRNA
Rfam family: Bacterial small subunit ribosomal RNA
Source: RNAcentral